UCUGUGUGAGAGGGGCAAAUGGGGACACCUGUCGCACCCACAGUGGGUUGUGGGUAUCACGCGUUCCGUUUUUUCGCAGCGCGUCUCUCUGCUUUUUGAAACACGCGACACUUUGUUUUUUUUUUAAACUAAGCCUCCUUUUGGGUUUGGUCUCUGUUAUUAUGAUUACAGGUUUUGGGCUUCUUUUAUGUUUUAAAAUAAGCCCACUUCUGUGAUACACCUUCUCACCGUUUAGGUUAUUCUUCGUUUCAUCUUCCUGGCGACAUAAAUCUGCAAAACGUUAAAAAAUCAUGCUGAAUCCAAGCGUUCAUAUUAACUCAAUCAUUAACAAUAGUUCCCACUCCUCACAAGAUUCAUCAAUGAAUACAUCCUCUCUUUACUCCCUUACUCUCAGUCUUCAACUAUAAAAAGAUAUGACAGUGCAAAAGCUGCUGAAAUAUUAGCCAAAGAUCUGUUAAUUUUGGCGUUUAAAGAAUAAAUUUACAGAGAGAUGAAAUCAUUCAAUUUAUGACUCGAGAUUAACUUUACCUUAGGGGAAGGUCACCGGCAUCACGAUGGACAAACGGUGGUGUUACGUCUCUUGCUCCAGGUGUACGAAGAAGCUUCAACGAACUGUCUCAGCCUUUACUUGCUUGACCUGCAACAACUCUAAUGAUGUUGGUGUCCUCCCAGUAUUUUGUUAUUUUCAUUCAAAUGCACUUCAUGUCCACACACACAAAGAUACAACUUACUUUGAUACACUUUAUCUGACUUC
Molecule: long non-coding RNA, 754 nt
Organism: Raphanus sativus (radish)
Lineage: Eukaryota; Viridiplantae; Streptophyta; Magnoliopsida; Brassicales; Brassicaceae
Exons: 2
Source: RefSeq, a predicted model, not a curated record